Callithrix jacchus (white-tufted-ear marmoset) is the source of this 9421-nucleotide non-coding RNA. The record is from RefSeq and is a predicted model, not a curated record. Lineage: Eukaryota; Metazoa; Chordata; Mammalia; Primates; Cebidae.
GCCUGGCGAGUUGGGGGCGCCAGCAAAGCCGGAUAAGGGCGGUCCCUUUUCCAGGUUCUUCUAAGCCGUAGGCUUCUCGGCGCGCUCCGCAGGUGCCGAGUCCCACCUGGCUUCCCGCCUGCGCCCCUUGCGCGCUCCUGCCUUCUCCCCGCGGAGCUGCGGGCCGGGCCCAGCGGCUUCACCUCUCGACGCUUCCCGGCUCCAACUCCGGGCCCCGCCCCCUCUCCAGCCCCCGGCGGCACCUUUGCUCCGGCGUCCCCCAGGCGCCGCCCCCUCCUCCCAGGGAGGUCCGAGAGCCUCCGCCGCCCGAAGAAGUUCGCGAAUGCCACCUCCUGGCCUGGGAGGAAACGUCCGGCGCCAACGCUCAGCGCUGGGAAACCGGGCGCGCGGGUUGGCAGAGACCGUUCCACGUUUGUUUUAUUCAUUCAGCAUGUAUUUGCGGGGCUCCUCCUGCGCCCGGGCUGUUCCGGAGGAGCAACGUGAACGCAGCGGGCCCGGACCCCGACCCCGGAAGCGGGCAGGUCACGAGCAGCAAACGCGCCGCACCCCCGCGGCGUCUGCGGGGGUGGAGCGGACGAUGGGGGGCCGGGCGGGGGUCCCGGGCCGGGAAGGAGAGGCGGCCUAGGCCCAGGUGUCCCGGUCCCGUGUCCGUUGGGGGCUGGGGGGCGGCGGGAGGGGGCCGGCGGGCCACAGGACUCCACACCGAGGGAGCCGGGAUUCGCCUUCAGACGCCCAGGCCACGGGAGUUCACAAAGCCCUGAUUUACACGGAAAUGACUUGUCCCGCGCAGCCCUCGGCGAACUGCUAAGCUGCUGCCCUGACUGCGCCCCCGGGGCUUGGGUCUCCUGGUAGUCGCCGGCAAAGGCCCUGCUCGUCCCUUUCCCUGAAGUGAGCGAGUUUCCAGCCUCUCCAAGCUUGACAAGCAAUCGCACCAGGCGUUCCAGACACAGACCGGGCCUCCCUGCGGCCUUGUGACCAGACUAAAAAAAAACAAGAUGACCCAAGGGAACCCUCCGUGGUGGCCACCCUUGGAAGCGGAGAGGUGGAGUUACCAGGGCCCCCUGGAGCCCAAGCGGAGGCUGGAGAAAACCCCAUCCCCACCCCCCAGCACAGUGGGAGGGGCCCUGCCUCCCCCGCAUCUCCGGUGCUCUCUGGGGCAGCCUGGCCGGAGCAGCAGCAAAGAGCUGGGAGGCAGGCGCAGAUCCCAGCCAGGCAGCCCUGGGGCCCCACUGGGCCCACCAGGGACCCAGUCAGGUCUGAAAGGCCAUGAGCUCGGAGGGCUGGAGUGGAAACUUGCCCAGGGGUGGGUAGUGACACCCCUAGGUGGGCAGAGGAGACUUCCAUCCUCAUUUUGGCACAGCCUGGCCCCUUCUCACACACACCUCCAGUGCUGCCGGCCUGGUGUGCUUUAUUUCAGAGGCCUUGAGGCCCCACCGCCACCUGCGGCCACCUAAUUCCAUCCCAUGCCUGCCAGGCCCUCCCGUCGUGGCCCGCAGACUCACCCACCUUGGCCACUCUUCCCCCCACUUUACAUGACUCACCUCCUCCACUGGGUCUCAGCUUGAGGAACGCCUUCUUGGCCACCUGGUCUGGUGCAGCCCCCACACUCCCGCCCAGCACAGCUGCCCGUCUCGGCACCAGCCCCCGGCUGAAGGCAUCGGUGGGUGCUUCUGAUGUCGCCUCCUUCUCAGCACCUGGCUGGAUGCGGGGACCGCCAAGACUGAGUUAAUGCCGACGGGGGAAGGAAGACAGCUGCAGGCCUCAGAGGGAUUUUUAGAGCUUGGGCAUGGGUGGGAGAGGGAGGACUGCGCACCCCACUUCUCGCUGGGAGGAGCAGGCACUGUGGAGGUAGUUCCAGACCUCCCCAAGCCACAGGGCCCCUCCCAGCGGAGCCUGAGGUCUUGCUGUUUAGACCAAGCUCAGACAGCCCCAGCUAUGAGCUGGAGGGUGUCCAUGCAGAGCCCAGGUGGCUUCCGGGGUCCCAGCUCCGGGUGGGGGGGUCCAGGUGCCCCGUCCUCCGGGCUAUGGUGGCCUCUUGCCCACUCGCCAACACUAACUGGUCAAUGUAAAGUAGAGGAGCAGGCUCUGGGGAGAGGACACUGCUUCUCCCAUCCUGAGAGGCCAGGACAGGGUGCAUGCUUGCUGGAGGCUGGGACAGGGCCACAGCGGGUGCCCGAGCACCCAACACUCUCCCUGAAAGCUGUGGGCCAGGCUGUGGAAUCCGGAACACCAGUGGGUCGGGGAGCUAAGAAAGAGGGCAGGGGAAGGGGAGUGGGCAGGGGUGCCAAGGCUGCCCACCCUCCCUGGCAGGGAGCAGCUUCACUGGCCAGCAGGGCUGGUGGACCUGGAGGGCAGGGGAGGGAGAGCUUGCUGCAACUCCAAGCACCCCUUUGGGGUGGGCCCCACCCGCCCCGGGCUUUGCCGAAGCUCUGGCUUCACUGGGCCCCUCCCACCUUGCAGUGCCCCUCCCUGAAUCCUGAGCCUCUGGUUUUCCUCCAGCUCCUGUUCUUUCUAAGUCACUUAUUUUAGUAAAUGCAGCAGCCUGCAGCACCCAUCGAAAGCACAGAAAGUAGGCCCCGUUCUUCCCCUGGAACGGAGUUCUUCUGUUGUCCCGGGCAUCCCUUUCUUCUUGUGAUGGAGACACUGCGGGCCACCUGCCCUCCCACACACGGCUCUUCACCUGGACCCUGCAGCAUCUCCCACCCACAGAGUCUCCAUCCCAGGCUGUCUGGGGUGGGGGGGGGUGGUGGGCAGGGAGCAGUGCCCAAGGUGGGGCAGGGGCUGGACACUGGGCCUUCUGGUCUCCCCGAUGACUUAGCCUUGGGUUCUGGUGGGCAUAGUAGAAACUGCUCUGGCCAGGCCAAAGAGGUUUCAAGUAUUCCUGCUCCCCAGGGAAGGGGCAUUCAGAGAUUCCCCACCGUGCCCCUGGGUGGGAGAGACCAGAAGCAGCCGAUGGUGCUAGGAGGUGACCCUGCCCUGCCAGGAACCAGACGGAGGGCUCUGAGGGACCCACAGUGCCACCAAGAGACAAGGUCCUGUCCUCCCAGGAGGGCACCUGGGCACCCGGGGGUGCAGGUGGGCCAGGCUCUGAGCAGUGGAGCUUGGGGUAGGAGGGGCAGUGGGUCUGGAGGUCCCAGGGACAGCAGGCAUGCCCUCACCACAGGGUCCUUCAACACCCAGAUGCCAUCUGGGCCCUGUGCUCAUUGGGAGGACACUCUUUUAAAAUCCCUCGGCAGAGGUCUUUUUCUGCUGAAGCACUGCCGGCUCUGACCAGCGGCCAAGGCAGCACUGGAGGCUGCAGUGGCCCUGUGAGGGGUCUCAGCUCUGGUGCGGAGGGAUUCCAGGGACGCUUGUCUUCAGCCUCAGCCCUGCUGUGGACAUCUCCACCCGCACGCUGGACCCCAGGAACCGUGUGGGUGUGCAGCGUCUACACUGGGCAGGCUGCGUCUCUCCUCCCUGGUGUUCACGGUUUGGGGAUGUGUCCCUGGGACCCCUGGCUGCUGGGAGGUGCCCUGUGCCAUUGCCCCACCUUCUGCUAAUGGAAUCCAUCAUCCUCACUCACUUCUCAGGUGAGGCUCUGAAAGGAAGUGGCACGUCCCAAGCUCCUUGGUCUCGAGCUGAGCUGCCCCAUCUGUCGGCACUGCUCAAGUUUCUGGCCGUGUAACUUUGGCUUGACACCCACCUGCUUGCCUCGGCCUCUGGGCUGCAGGCUGGUUUCGUCCCUGUUCGUCUCUCAUUUUCUGCCUCCUUCCAGGCUGGUCCUCAGGACCCCCCGGGUCAGCAGUCCUGCUGGUGGACAGACACCUCCAGGGCCCUCUUGCCUCCCUGCCGGGUGCUGAGGACCUCACAUCUGUGCCACUUCUCAGGGUGCACUGCCUGGGACCUCCCCGUCUCCACGUAGGCAUCUCAUAGCCCCUGAGGGACCAGUGCUGCCUCCCCUCCUGGGUCCUUCAUGGCUCCUGGGACAAGGACACCAGAUGCCCAUGCCUGGAGGAGUUCGGUGGAGCCCACAGAGGUGAGUGGCUCUCCAAGGGGGCCUCUGGCACUUGAGGGCGGCUCUGUGGAGCAGCUGGGUGCAGCUCUUCUUCCUCUGGAGGCACCUGGCCCUCAGCUGGAGACCUUUGGCCACCUGGGUCCCCCAGUCCCCCAAAAAGCUGAGCCAGAAAGGGGUCUUUGCCCCUGCAGCACCCAGCACACAAUACCCCCCAGCUUCUGGCUGGGGUGGCCCCCGGGCAAUACCAUCCCUUGAGGACAUCAGAGCCCAUGCCAGAAGCCACCAUCCCACCUGUGUGCCCUGUGAACACAGGAGCCCGGCGGUGGGGGGGGCGGGCGGUGGUGACUGAGUGGCCUUCAGUCACUGAAGAAGACUGCCCGGGAGCAGGUGGGCCACUGUGGCUGCAGAUGUGGAGGGGCCACGCCUUAGGUGGGUCGGCCACGAACUGCCUCAGAGGCACUCUUCUCUGGGGUCCCAAGAAUCUUGUCUCCUUCAGGAAAGGACAAGGAGACAUGGCUGUAAAUCACUCCCGGAGCUAAUUCCCCAGGGCUCCGGGGCACCAGAUGUGCAGCCGGCAUAAUGAGCUCUCUCCCGGGGCCUCUCGGUGUCUGGCCACGUGGCGCACGCACUAAUUGAGUGCUGAGCUCUCGGAGAUUUGUGUCAGGAGCCUGCUCCGGCGCCUUGGCUGUGAUCCGAGGAUGAGCUUGGACCAGUGUCAGCCAAGUGAGGGCUUCCGGAGGGGCUGCUUCCUGGUGCCCCUCCAGGCUGGGCCACGGCACUCCGUAGGGGCUUCCUGGUGGGUGAGGGUCCCCAGGCGAGUGAGGGGUCCUGUGGUGCCACGGCCAGUGCCUUCUGACAGUGGGCAUCUCCACAGGCUCUCAGGGCCCCUUCCUGGCCAGGUCUUCACAGAAGCCCAGGCCCUGAGUGUCUAGUGGCCUCCGCGGCCACGUCUGUGUGACUGGGGCCAAGUGUGGGGUGGCUCCAGCUCAGGACUGUCUGAGCCCCACCCUUCCAGGUGCUCUGAGCUCUCAGGGUGUCACUGUCCAUUUAUCCUCGACUGGGUCUCGACUGGCCCAGUGGCAGGCAGAGCUCAGGCUGGAGCAGGGCUCGCAGGGGCCCCGGCAGCAACCGUGGCCACACGGGGUCACAGGUGUCACAGGAGGCUGAGAGCCUGUGCUGGUCACCAUGCGGCGCCGGUGAGGCUGCCCUCUGCCUGGGUGCUGUGGGAGAGCAGGGGCUGCCGCCAGGACCCAGUGCAGGUCGUUCAGAAGACCCCAAAGUGGGGAAUCCCCGGUGUCCAGGCCAGCGAGGCCUCAUCUCCAGAGCCUUCACAAUGGCAUCACGCAUGAGAGGGUUUACAGGACGGGGCGCCCUGCAUGGGGAGUGGCCUGUGACUUCUGGGGGACGCAGCUGCUAUGUGAAGCCCCCUGGCUGAGCGGCCCCUCCCCAGACAUUCUGUCUGCAUCAGCUUAACAGAAAUACCAUCUGUGGUUGGAGGGGUGCUCCCCAGCCUCUGCUCCCAGCGGAGGGGCCCUGCCCUUGGGAACCAGGGCUUGUCUGGCCUGGCAGUCGAAAGCAAGUCUGGGGCCUGGGGCUUCAGGUGAGUCGGCAUCUGUGGGACAGGGCUGGGUCUUGUUCUGUAGACCAAACUCAGCCCCACCACAUGGCCUGAGCUGAGCUGGAGAGUGUCCACUGUAAGGCUGGGGCAGGGAGCCACUGCCCGAGGUCCUGGUCUGGGCAUGAGUCCCUGAGGCCGGCUGCCUGCAGCUCUCCCACCGCAGCUGGGUCUGGCACCCCCUGCCUGGGGUGUUCUUUUUUCUGUGAACAUGUCUUAUUUUUAUUAAUAAACGAUUUAGGGUCCCACACCCCGAGGCUGCCCACACAGCCACCCUAGAGGGGGCACAGGCUUCCCGUGAGGAUUCGUUCUGGAAACACUUCGGGCCUUGGAGUCAAAGGAGCCCAACAGGAAGACCUGGAGGGGCUGCAGGGGAGGAAUUUCACCUCCUGCCCAGGCAAGGCAACUUGCUCUGCUUCUCCCAGGAGCAUUGAGCGCACUGAACCCCGCCUCCCAGGCACAAAGGGCUCCUGAGCCCGGGUUUCAAGUUCCCUGGGAGAUGGGGUCGCACGCUCCAGGAGAGGGCACAGGAGGAGCUGGAUGUGGUGCCGGGCACCUGUAACAGCAGCCACUCGGGAGGCUGAGGAAGGAGAAUCACUUGAAUCCUAGAGUCAGAGGUUGCCGUGAGCAGAGAUUAAGCCACUGCAGUCCAGGCUGGGCGACAGAGCGAGACUCCAUCUCGAGAAAUAAUAAUAAACAAACAGAGGUGUCACUUCAUCGUUAGCUGUGUAAACAUGCACUGGAGAGCCCGGAGGAGCCUCUGAGCACAAACCCGUGGGCGCCUCUGCAGGGAGGAGCCGGCGGGCACAGGCCGCAUUUCUCCAUUGUAUCCGAGCUGUGCUUCAGCUUCUUUUUUCUGUGAACAUGUCUUAUUUUUACUAAUAAACGAUUUAGGAAGUGUGGCUCACCUCAUCCGACCGAGCGGGUGGUGCCUGAGUUCCUGGAAGCCCUGGGACCAACCUUGGGCACGGACACUUCCCUUGGUGCUGGCGCCGAGUCCAGGGGGAGCUUGCCCUGGUUCCCAGCACUCUCCAGGGACACAGGGUUUGACCAGGUUUGAAGUCACAGCCAAAGACACUGCCUGUGAUGGUGAGGCCGCAGGGGCCACGUCUCACCAGGACAUCAGGUCACCCCAGCAGGCUGGUCCCCAAAUACAAACACCUGGAACCCUUUCCAUAAACCCAGGGCCACUGUGAGCAGCCAUUUCACUGCUGAGAUUUGCUGUGAGGACGACUGGAGAUACGAGGCAACUUCUGAGCCACCCUAGAGGCGGCCACGGCAUCUCCAGGUGGAUGAACGGCAGCAUGGAGGUGGCGCUUUUUCUCCCGUGAGCGUCUGCCGUGCUGUGUUGGGUGGGCUGGCCCUUCUCAAGGCUGCCCCUCGCACUCCGCACGUAAACCUUUCUGUUCUUUUCCACCCGCUGGAGCCUCUGAGCCACGGCGACAGCGGAUUCCUGGGGUCCCGUAGGGAGCUCGCCUAGGACCUGCUCUGGGAGCCAUCCAGUGUGCAGCCCGGGUGUGCCAGCCCAGUCCUGGGCCUUCAGCCUCCCAACGUGCCAGCCCCCCUUCUCACUGGGAUGGCUGAGGGUCCACGCCGGGCAGGCAGCACAGGCACUGGUGGCUCCAUGUCAGGAUUUCUGUGGUGGCAGCGGAUGGGCAUCAAGAACUGCCUGUUAGGCUUGUGCCCACACCAAGGUGGGAGCUGCCACCCUCGGGGAGGUGUGGGAACACGCGUGGAGGUCGGAGCCUGCUGCCACCUCGGUGUCUGGGUGCCAGGGCAGCCAUUCCUUCAAACAUGGGACCUUUCCAAACCAGCACCUCCUCAGGAAUUAGGAUCGAUGGGAGAUUGUCAUUGCCACAAGAGGCAGGGACAUGAGGAGAAAAAUCCUAUUCUGCUGAAUUCGAGGGAAGCCGCAGAACUGCACAGACUCGCCGAUGCGGAAUCGCCAGCCGCUGCUGCUGUCGCCCUGGCCUGAUUCCUUUUGCUGUUGUUUUUUGAGAUGGAGUCUUGCCCUGUCACUCACGCUAUAGUGCAGUGGCCUGAUCUCGGCUCACUGCAACCUCCACUUCCUGGGUUCAAGUGAUUCUCCUGCCUCAGCCUCCUGAGUAGCUGCAAUUAUGGGCGUGUGCCACCACACCCAGCUAGUUUUUGUAUUUCUAGUAGAGACGGGGCUUCACCGUGUUGGUUAGGCUGGUCUCUAACUCCUGACCUUGGGAUCCGCCCACCUCAGCCUCCCAAAGUGCCAGGAUCACGGGCAUGAGCCGCCGCGCCCGGCCAGUGGUGUGUUUUAUGAAUAGGAAAUCUUCCUUUGACCAAGCACGUUGAUAGAACUUGUCUACCUUUGGGGAGAGUGGAACAGAUUAUAAAUAAGCUCGAUUAAAUUUUUUUUGGUGUGAGAAUUUUUUUCCAUUUUGAUUUUAGAAAUGAUAUGAACUAUUUCUUAUAUUCAGGUAAGGUAAGAAAAAUACAAAAAAUGAAAAAAUACUGUGAGUAUGUUCUUGGCUCCGGAUUUUUUCUUGCUAAAACUGUAGUGCAGAGAAAAGUGUGGCUGUGGCUGGAACUGGUGGCCUUGGUCAGGUCACAAGACAAAAGAGUAAAACAUGAUUUUUAAACAAACUAAGACUGUCAUUGCAAGAAACAAAACUUAUGUAGUACUUUUAGUCAAGAUGACUCUUUGGACACAUUACCUUGGUGGAAUUAUUCCAGUUUAAUGUGGUUCCAUGGCUCCUCUUCCUGCAACCACGUGGAUACAGCUCAGGCGCCACUCGGGUCUGCGUGGUCUUGGGUUGUUUUCUCUUCUGUGGCCCUUCUCGCCUCCCCCAGUGUCCCCCAUUGCUGUUAUGUGACAGAACAAUCCUGUUAGGAGCCAUGAUUUAUGGUGUGACCCAGAGGUGGUCGAGGUGGCUGGCUGGAUGAGGUGGGGGUUGUGCGUCUUCCCCUGGGAAAUCCGGCUGCAGUCGUAGCUGGGCCUCACGCGUGCUGCCCUGAUGCAUGGGAUUCCAGGAUGGGCACAUCCAGGGCGAAGCCUGGGGUCACAGUGGCUCACAAGCCGAAUGGAGAUGGGUGGACUGAGGCAGUGUGUGGCUGUGGAGUUCAUUGUAGAACUGGACUUGGAAGGACCAGGGAUAUUUUGGGUGCUGGGCCCUGGUUGCCCCAGGUUUUGCUCAGUGAGUUAGGAGAAGGGGCUGGGAAGAAGGAAUGUCCUCCGCAGCGGGAGGAGGGGUAGCUUCUGGCUGCUCAGGGGAGCUGUGGAUCCAUUUCUGCCAUAGCCCUCGAGCAUGCUGCAUGGUGAGCCAUGGGACAGGGGUCCUGUGGGGUGUGGGGAGUACUGGGCUGCAGGGCCUCCUCGGGAGAGGCAACCCCAACACAGAUGCCAGGGGCAGGCGGCUCCACAGCUUCCUUGCCACCCCUCAGGCCACACAGCCACCUUCCACGCCCUGUCCCACAGCGCAGGUGGGCAGGGCUUUACCACCCAGAGCCAGUAAAUCCCUCCUCGGCUAAAGCCUGCGCCAGGAUUUCAGCCCAAGUGAUGUGAUGGUGCUCUCGGGAGAGGAGAGAAGGGAAGGUGAUGCCCCAGUGUACGCCUCACCCGAGCCCGGGACGCCUCACCCAGGAAAGCUCACCCGAGCCCGGGAUGCCUCACUCAGGAAACCUCACCCGAGCCCGGGAUGCCUCACCCAGGAAACCUCACCCGAGCCCGGGACGCCUCACCCAGGAAAGCUCACCCGAGCCCGGGACGCCUCACCCAGGAAAGCUCACCCGAGCCCGGGAAACCUCAUCCAAGCCUGGGAAACCUCACCUGAGCCCGGGAC